This 497-nucleotide ribosomal RNA is filed under the name uncultured bacterium. RNAcentral describes it as "partial 16S ribosomal RNA". It matches the Rfam family "Bacterial small subunit ribosomal RNA", at positions 28 to 507 of the family's 1533-position model. The record is from RNAcentral.
GAUGAACGCUGGCGGCGUGCCUAAUACAUGCAAGUCGAGCGAACAGACGAGGAGCUUGCUCCUCUGACGUUAGCGGCGGACGGGUGAGUAACACGUGGAUAACCUACCUAUAAGACUGGGAUAACUUCGGGAAACCGGAGCUAAUACCGGAUAACAUGUUGAACCGCAUGGUUCAACAGUGAAAGACGGUUUUGCUGUCACUUAUAGAUGGAUCCGCGCCGCAUUAGCUAGUUGGUAAGGUAACGGUUUACCAAGGCAACGAUGCGUAGCCGACCUGAGAGGGUGAUCGGCCACACUGGAACUGAGACACGGUCCAGACUCCUACGGGAGGCAGCAGUAGGGAAUCUUCCGCAAUGGGCGAAAGCCUGACGGAGCAACGCCGCGUGAGUGAAGAAGGUCUUCGGAUCGUAAAACUCUGUUAUUAGGGAAGAACAAAUGUGUAAGUAACUAUGCACGUCUUGACGGUACCUAAUCAGAAAGCCACGGCUAACUACGUG